Molecule: long non-coding RNA, 683 nt
Organism: Homalodisca vitripennis (glassy-winged sharpshooter)
Lineage: Eukaryota; Metazoa; Arthropoda; Insecta; Hemiptera; Cicadellidae
Exons: 2
Source: RefSeq, a predicted model, not a curated record
CCAGAUGACGCAUGAGGAGCUCGUUUGGGCUCUCAGCCACAGAUCUCUCACACAGGUGUGUAGGGAAUAGGAGUGGUAGUAUAUACGCUGGAGAUGGAAAUACCGUUACUUUUCAAUAACCUAUUACCAAUAUAACGUGGUUAGUUGGUAUUAUGUUCCAGUAAUCUGUUACCGUGGUAACAUGUUACCAAUCAACCCACGCUAGGUAUUAGCAUUAUGCUGUUACUGAAUUGACGUUAUUAAGCUUUUUUAGGAUAUAUGCGGUUUUCAUCUCCUCUGAGUGGCAAGACUGUCGAGUUCCCGGAUAUACAGUGAUGCCAGCUGCCAUCAGCGCUACUAUCUGAAAGCAGGUGCCGCUUUCCCAGAGAGCACGCUUCAAUCCAGCAUUGCGGACAUCUCGAUACUUGCUUCACCCACCCACCCGGAUCUCAUGUUCUUUAGAUCCUUUCAGCAAGUCCUCGUACAAUGUAUUUGCAUGUCUUGUACAAUUUAAGUACGAGCAUAUCUCACCUAAUAUUUCAUACUGAUUUCGACAUUAAACAUUGAAUAGUAAAGUGUUAGAAUCCUCAAUGCAUUUUUUAUUUCAGAAUCUUUAUUUCCAAAGUAUUUUUUCACUACUUUUGUUGUAUGUUUAAUAUAAUAAAAUAUAUGUAAACCAUCCUAAUAAAUCAGUUAUUCUUAAA